GGAUUUUCUUAGUAGCGGCGAGCGAAAAGAAAUCAGUUCAGCACUAAGUCACUUUGUCUUUAUGGCAAAUGUGAGAUGCAGUGUAUGGAAUGUCAAAUUUCUAGUAUGAGAAAUUAACGAUUUAAGUCCUUCUUAAAUGAGGCCAUUUACCCAUAGAGGGUGCCAGGCCCGUAUAACGUUAAUGAUUACUAGAUGGCAUUUCCAAAGAGUCGUGUUGCUUGAUAGUGCAGCACUAAGUGGGUGGUAAACUCCAUCUAAAACUAAAUAUAACCAUGAGACCGAUAGUAAACAAGUACCGUGAGGGAAAGUUGAAAAGAACUCUGAAUAGAGAGUUAAAUAGUACGUGAAACUGCUUAGAGGUUAAGCCCGAUGAACCUGAAUAUCCAUUAUAGAAAAUUCAUCAUUAUGAUUUUAAUAUUAAUAAUAUUAUAAUAAUGGUGUGCAUUUUUUCUAUAACGGACAUUGUAAUCUAUUAACAUAAAUAUAUUUAUCAUAAGAUCAAUGAUGCGUAAGUUUAUUCAAAUUAUUUUGCUUGCAAUUUAACAUAGAAUAAAUGCUCUUGAUUUGAUAAAGUGUUGAUAGAUUUAUUGUAUAUAGUGCUUAAAUAUUUAUAUUUUAUAAUAGCAUAUUAAUCAUUGAUUUUUAUGUUUAUUAUAUGCACUUAUAUGAUUAACAAUGCGAAAGAUUCAGGAUACCUUCGGGACCCGUCUUG
Molecule: ribosomal RNA, 712 nt
Filed under: Sarcophaga crassipalpis
Lineage: Eukaryota; Metazoa; Arthropoda; Insecta; Diptera; Sarcophagidae
Description: eukaryotic LSU rRNA
Rfam family: Eukaryotic large subunit ribosomal RNA
Source: RNAcentral